UCGAGCGGCGAACGGGUGAGUAACACGUGGAUAACCUGCCCAGAGGUGGGGGAUAACCCGGGGAAACUCGGGCUAAUACCGCAUGACACCGUGAGGUCAAAGGGGGCUCGCAAGGGCUCUCGCCAUUGGAGGGGUCCGCGUCCGAUUAGCUAGUUGGUAGGGUAAUGGCCUACCAAGGCGACGAUCGGUAGCCGGCCUGAGAGGGUGAUCGGCCACACUGGAACUGAGACACGGUCCAG
This 239-nucleotide ribosomal RNA is filed under the name uncultured bacterium. RNAcentral's name for it is "partial 16S ribosomal RNA". It matches the Rfam family "Bacterial small subunit ribosomal RNA", at positions 91 to 334 of the family's 1533-position model. The record is from RNAcentral.